AAAGCGUAACAAGGUCUCCGUUGGUGAACCAGCGGAGGGAUCAUUACUGAGUUUACGCUCUACAACCCUUUGUGAACAUACCUAUAACUGUUGCUUCGGCGGGUAGGGUCUCCGUGACCCUCCCGGCCUCCCGCCCCCGGGCGGGUCGGCGCCCGCCGGAGGAUAACCAAACUCUGAUUUAACGACGUUUCUUCUGAGUGGUACAAGCAAAUAAUCAAAACUUUUAACAACGGAUCUCUUGGUUCUGGCAUCGAUGAAGAACGCAGCGAAAUGCGAUAAGUAAUGUGAAUUGCAGAAUUCAGUGAAUCAUCGAAUCUUUGAACGCACAUUGCGCCCGCCAGCAUUCUGGCGGGCAUGCCUGUUCGAGCGUCAUUUCAACCCUCAAGCUCUGCUUGGUGUUGGGGCCCUACAGCUGAUGUAGGCCCUCAAAGGUAGUGGCGGACCCUCCCGGAGCCUCCUUUGCGUAGUAACUUUACGUCUCGCACUGGGAUCCGGAGGGACUCUUGCCGUAAAACCCCCAAUUUUCCAAAGGUUGACCUCGGAUCAGGUAGGAAUACCCGCUGAACUUAAGCAUAUCAU
Molecule: ribosomal RNA, 579 nt
Filed under: Colletotrichum gloeosporioides
Lineage: Eukaryota; Fungi; Ascomycota; Sordariomycetes; Glomerellales; Glomerellaceae
Description: eukaryotic LSU rRNA
Rfam family: 5.8S ribosomal RNA (bases 219-372)
Source: RNAcentral